CAUAUGGUAGGAGAGCGUUCCGUAAGCCUGAGAAGGUGUCUUGUAAAGGAUGCUGGAGGUAUCGGAAGUGCGAAUGCUGACAUGAGUAGCGAUAAAGAGGGUGAAAAGCCCUCUCGCCGAAAGCCCAAGGUUUCCUGUUCAACGUUCAUCGGAGCAGGGUGAGUCGGCCCCUAAGGCGAGGCAGAGAUGCGUAGCUGAUGGGAAGCAGGUUAAUAUUCCUGCACCGUCGUAUGAUGCGAUGGGGGGACGGAUCGCGGAAGGUUGUCCAACUGUUGGAAUAGUUGGUUUUUGACUCAUAGAAGGCGCUUAGGCAAAUCCGGGCGCAUAAUUCAAGGGGUCGAGACGGGUGCCCAUGUGGCACGAAGCAAUCGGAAGUGGUUCCAAGAAAAGCCUCUAAGCUUCAGUCAUACGAGACCGUACCGCAAACCGACACAGGUGGGCGAGAUGAGUAUUCUAAGGCGCUUGAGAGAACUCGGGAGAAGGAACUCGGCAAAUUGGUACCGUAACUUCGGGAUAAGGUACGCCCCGGUAGCUUGACUGCUUUACUGCAGAAGGGUGAAAGGGUUGCAAUAAACUGGUGGCUGCGACUGUUUAAUAAAAACACAGCACUCUGCAAACACGAAAGUGGACGUAUAGGGUGUGACGCCUGCCCGGUGCUGGAAGAUUAAAUGAUGGGGUGCAAGCUCUUGAUUGAAGUCCCAGUAAACGGCGGCCGUAACUAUAACGGUCCUAAGGUAGCGAAAUUCCUUGUCGGGUAAGUUCCGACCUGCACGAAUGGCGUAACGAUGGCCACACUGUCUCCUCCCGAGACUCAGCGAAGUUGAAAUGUUUGUGAUGAUGCAAUCUACCCGCGGCUAGACGGAAAGACCCCAUGAACCUUUACUGUAGCUUUGCAUUGGACUUUGAACCAAUCUGUGUAGGAUAGGUGGGAGGCUUUGAAGCGGGGACGCCAGUUCUCGUGGAGCCAACCUUGAAAUACCACCCUGGUUCGUUUGAGGUUCUAACCUUGGCCCGUGAUCCGGGUCGGGGACAGUGCAUGGUAGGCAGUUUGACUGGGGCGGUCUCCUCCUAAAGUGUAACGGAGGAGUUCGAAGGUACGCUAGGUACGGUCGGACAUCGUGCUAAUAGUGCAAUGGCAUAAGCGUGCUUAACUGCGAGACCGACAAGUCGAGCAGGUACGAAAGUAGGACAUAGUGAUCCGGUGGUUCUGUAUGGAAGGGCCAUCGCUCAACGGAUAAAAGGUACUCUGGGGAUAACAGGCUGAUUCCUCCCAAGAGUUCAUAUCGACGGGGGAGUUUGGCACCUCGAUGUCGGCUCAUCACAUCCUGGGGCUGUAGCCGGUCCCAAGGGUAUGGCUGUUCGCCAUUUAAAGUGGUACGUGAGCUGGGUUUAAAACGUCGUGAGACAGUUUGGUCCCUAUCUGCCGUGGGCGUUGGAAAUUUGAAGGGGGCUGCUCCUAGUACGAGAGGACCGGAGUGGACGAACCUCUGGUGUACCGGUUGUCACGCCAGUGGCAUUGCCGGGUAGCUAAGUUCGGAAGAGAUAACCGCUGAAAGCAUCUAAGCGGGAAACUCGCCUUGAGAUGAGAUUUCCCGGAGCCUUGAGCUCCUUGAAGGGUCGUUCGAGACCAGGACGUUGAUAGGUCGGGUGUGGAAGUGCAGUAAUGCAUUAAGCUAACCGAUACUAAUUGCCCGUACGGCUUGUCCCU
Molecule: ribosomal RNA, 1708 nt
Filed under: Massilia pinisoli
Lineage: Bacteria; Pseudomonadati; Pseudomonadota; Betaproteobacteria; Burkholderiales; Oxalobacteraceae
Description: partial 23S ribosomal RNA
Rfam family: Bacterial large subunit ribosomal RNA
Source: RNAcentral